Long non-coding RNA from Felis catus (domestic cat), 3052 nucleotides. RefSeq lists it as uncharacterized. NCBI's taxonomy places the organism in Eukaryota, Metazoa, Chordata, Mammalia, Carnivora, Felidae. The transcript has 2 exons. The record is from RefSeq and is a predicted model, not a curated record.
AUUCUGUGUUUCCCUCUCUCUCUGCCCCUUGCCUGCUCACGCUCUCUGUCUCAAAGAUAAAUAUUAAAAAAAAAAUUUUAAAGGUCCUUAUGAUCAAUCGCUAUUCUUGCUGAGCUUAUGUGAGUAAUUAGGCCAAGUUUGCUAGAACCGGACUUGUUUUACAAAUGAAUUAGUCUGGAUUCGGCUGUCUCCGAAUAUGAGGGUUUUUAGACAGAAAAUCUAUUUUCGAUAAUGCACUUUUAUGGAUGUUAAACUCUAGUUUUGAGGGGCGCCUGGGUGGCGCAGUCGGUUAAGCGUCCGACUUCAGCCAGGUCACUAUCUCGCGGUCCGUGAGUUCGAGCCCCGCGUCAGGCUCUGGGCUGAUGGCUCAGAGCCUGGAGCCUGUUUUCGAUUCUGUGUCUCCCUCUCUCUCUGCCCCUCCCCCGUUCAUGCUCUGUCUCUCUCUGUCCCAAAAAUAAAUAAAAAACGUUGAAAAAAAAUUUAAACUCUAGUUUUGAUUUAGUCUUUAGUUUGAUUUAGUCUUUAGUUUUGAUCUAGUCUUUAAAUGUUUGUUGUUUGCCUAAACUGGACAACUUGAGGUAAACUUCAGAAAAAUGGUCACAAUAGUACAGACAUGGACAAUCUUCUUGCUUGUUAUUCUGCGGUAAUAAUAACCCCAGGGGCAUAUGAUUUAAACAACUGGAAAAUGGUAUGGAUUACCCCAACAAUUGUAUAUGAAAUGACUUUUCUCACUGUAAGUCUAUCAACAGAUAAAGAAUAUAGUGCCUUAUUAAAUUAUUCGCUUGCGGCCGGAUUGAAUCAUGAGUCUCUAAAUAUGCAAACCAUAGUCUCUAAACCUGAUCUGACAGUUACUAGCAACCCAUGCCAUAUAAACCCCAAAGCCUGCUUUAUUUAAAGGAUCGAAAGUCUAAUACAACAGGGAAUUUAACUCCAAAAUUAAAGGGUCAUAUUAUGUACUUCCACUGCUGUAAAGUUAGAGGGCACUCUUCAUGGGCUCCUGCAUCUAGAUAAAACCUGUACCCCUUUACAGGAAAUCAAUGAGCGAACUAAUGUGACCUCUAAUUCUUGUGAACCUGUGGGAGAAAUCAAACUUCUCUUAUGAUGGUUGUACCUUUCUUUUUCAUUCUCCUUUCCCCAAUUUCUACUAAUAAUUCCUUCUUACAAUGGGCCACUCAAAAGGAUCACCACAGAUAUUUGAGUUACACACUCAAAUACAGAAAGACCAAUCUGAUUCCUGCUGCCCGUUCCCACUCCCAUGUGAGGAUGCUUCCAGCCUGACAUCUAAAAAUCUCACUGGCAGCACUUAUUAAUUGCCUGAUUGCUUACUAAACAAAACAUAAUCUGUAGGAUGGUUAACCACCACCUGUUACCCAGUUAAGGCCUUAAAUGACUCUCACAAUAACAUUAUAUUACUAAAUACUAAAAUAACUCAAAUGCAUGAAACAGUUCUACAACAUAGAAUGACAUUCGAUGUUUUAACUGCCGCACAGGUGGAACUUAUACUCUCAUAAAAACAAAGUGCUGUGUAUACAUUCCAGAAUACCACAAAACUAUUUCUGGAUUUCUAACUGACAUGAAUACUCAAACUGGCGCUUUAAACAAUCCCUCUCUUUCCUGAAUGAUUGGUUAAACAUCUAGACUGGAGGUUUUUUGUCAGCUACCAAAGGACUUUUAUUUGGGCUAACCUUUCUAGUUAUUCUAAUUAUGUUUUGCUGUUUUCUCCCAUGUCUGUCUGCCUCGUGCCGAGACUCCAUCACUGCAAUAACUUCAAGCCAACAGAUGAUCCUUUCUACUCCAGGAGCUUCGUGUACAUUGUCAGUGUUGGAUUCAGCUGCUUCUGCCUUUCAUGACUCCCCUAUACCUUCCCGACCGACCAAUGUUGAUCCGUAGGCGGGGACAUCUCUAUGCCCCUACUCAGCAGGAGGAAGCCACGGAAAACGAGACCUCUACCGUCAGCAACCUUAAAGAUGGCUGCACAGUCUCCACCCACCUUCUGUGACACUGGCCUCACCCGAUGGAACAACUGCCUGCCCUCUCGUCCAGACACUUCUGCUCUCACUCAUGUCUAUUGCUGUGUCCACCACGGACCUAAGCCCACCGCAGUCAGGAACAUGGUAAACGAGGAAUCAUUUCUCUACUGAGCCCAUGGGCUCAAAAAAAAGAACACAGCUCUCGUUCUUCGGUGAAGACACAGGCUUCAUGGAGCAUUUACUUGGGUAGCGCUCCAUAAAUUCUCCAUGCCAUUCAAGCAUGUCUCUAUAUACCUUUUGAAACGUGUUUUUAACCCAACAAGGGAUUUUACCACACGGACUUCUUCAGUUGCUUUGUUCCCCUAGCAAGGCUUUUCGGACUUCCUUCAGAGUCCCUACAUUUGGGACAUUGUCCUUGGGUCCUUGACUUCCCAACUGAAUUCUCUCUUCUACGUUCCUUCAUUCCCAUGGUUUGGACAAUGGUGAGAUAGAGCUAGAUCUUGGGUCUCCUAGGCUGGUGUAUCUGCAGGAAACCCUCUAAGACAUGAAGUCACAGAGCUGACACAGGGGAUCGGUGGCACUUCGGAGAGGCUGGCCCCCUGAGCCCACUCACCCAGGGCGUCAUCACCACAGCAGCCAGACCUGCCCGUGCCCUCGCAGACAGGACGGGCCUGCGUCCCCGCUCGCCUCACCCUGCAGGGUCGCACCCUGCGUUCUCCUCAAACGCUGCGUUUCCUGUCUCAUCCCCAUCCUUCCCCUGCCCCAGCUGGUCCCCGCCGCCCCUGCUGCAGGACCACAGGACUCUUGGCCGCCUCACUGGCCCCACCCUACUGCCCUUCAGGGCCACCAGCCCCUUCUGCCAUGCGCGACUAGCUCCCGGUCCGGGGGUCUCCAGACCGCGGCCACUCCCUCCAGCCCCUUCAGUGGCCCCACGUUGUGGGUGGACUCCUCUCCGCUGCUUGCAACAAUAUUCGUAUAAUUUGUGUGUUGCUAGACAUCACCUAUCUCAUCUGUUUCCAAGUUCACUAUCAUGGAGUUAUGUCUGUGAAAAUCUCACAUAAUAAAAACAGGCCUGUAACUUA